RNAcentral lists this unclassified non-coding RNA (244 nucleotides) under uncultured Sordariomycetes. RNAcentral's name for it is "sequence contains 5.8S rRNA gene, ITS2, 28S rRNA gene". The record is from RNAcentral. Lineage: Eukaryota; Fungi; Ascomycota; Sordariomycetes.
AACGCACAUUGCGCCCGUCAGUAUUCUGGCGGGCAUGCCUGUUCGAGCGUCAUUUCGACCCUUAAGCCCUGUUGCUUAGUGUUGGGGGCCCGCCGUGGCAGCCCCCCAAAGCCAUUGGCGGCGUCGGCUCCUCGCCCCGGAUGCAGUAGAUCUCUCUCGUCCGCGGCCGGGCCGGUCGCCUGCCGUAAAACGCCCAAAUUCUUUGGUUGACCUCGGAUCAGGUAGGAGUACCCGCUGAACUUAA